AUACGGAGGGUGCAAGCGUUAUUCGGAAUCACUGGGCGUAAAGGACGCGUAGGCGGGUUGGCAAGUCAGAUGUGAAACCCUACAGCUUAACUGUAGAACUGCAUUUGAAACUGCUAACCUAGAGUAUGGGAGGGGGAGAUGGAAUUAGUGGUGUAGGGGUAAAAUCCGUAGAUAUCACUAGGAAUACCGAAAGCGAAGGCGAUCUCCUGGAACAUAUCUGACGCUAAGGCGUGAAAGCGUGGGGAGCAAACAGGAUUAGAAACCCUAGUAGUCC
Molecule: ribosomal RNA, 274 nt
Filed under: uncultured bacterium
Lineage: Bacteria
Description: partial 16S ribosomal RNA
Rfam family: Bacterial small subunit ribosomal RNA
Source: RNAcentral